Long non-coding RNA from Heterocephalus glaber (naked mole-rat), 834 nucleotides. The record is from Ensembl. NCBI's taxonomy places the organism in Eukaryota, Metazoa, Chordata, Mammalia, Rodentia, Bathyergidae.
AUUGAGGUCGCUGAUGAGACAUAGUGGCUGUGACCAGGAGACGACUCUGAGGGCACUGGGCCUUAGAGAACGACCAUAUCAACUGUGGCCGUAGAGCACCUUGAAGCCCACAGGUUACCUUCCCACUGGUUCUAGACUGGUGACUCCAGGCACGAUGUGAAAAGGAGCUGUGGGUCCCAUGGGCACCGAGGGAACCCAAGCCAUGAGGCUGUGACUCCCACAACCUGCUUAUCACUUCUCUCCAGGUCAGCCUGUGAUCCAAGAAGCCUGAACAUCAGAGAUGCUCUGCAUUGUGGAGAAACUACCUCUAGCUUUCUCGGGAUCAAAGGAAUUCCAUUAGCGAAGUGCAACUGACUUUUCUUACUGCGUUUAUUGUUUGAAAGCUGUGAACUGCACCAAGUCCUUGUGAUUAAACAAUGGCUGUUGUCCUUGACAUCUUUCCUCGUUGCAGAGCCCCAUAGCAUCACUGCUCGAAGGUAAUCUUAUGUUUUCAUAGGUUUCAGGGACUGAGACAUGGAGGUGUCUAGGAAAAGCUGUUAUUCUGCCUCCCGGACUAGAUACGACUACUAUUAUGCACGGGUACAACUUAGUGACCCUGGAACUGAAUUCUGAAGUCAGGAAGACAGUCGCAACGUGGCUGCUGAUGGAACCAUCUGCACAUCCUCCUGCAUCAGGAAUGGGUCUGCCGCGUGUCCCCCUCCCAGGCUGACCAAGACAUGUGCUGUGGGAAGAGCAAUGACAACCCUUUGACGAAUUCACCAAGGCACAAGCUCUGUGAACUGCCUUCUCCUUAACCCACUACAUGUUUGAUGAAGACUUUCCAUGUCUUUGGUA